RNAcentral lists this ribosomal RNA (253 nucleotides) under uncultured bacterium. RNAcentral's name for it is "partial 16S ribosomal RNA". It matches the Rfam family "Bacterial small subunit ribosomal RNA", at positions 524 to 776 of the family's 1533-position model. The record is from RNAcentral.
UACGUAGGGGGCUAGCGUUGUCCGGAAUCAUUGGGCGUAAAGCGCGUGUAGGCGGUCCGGUAAGUCCGCUGUGAAAGUCGGGGGCUCAACCCUCGAAUGCCGGUGGAUACUGUCGGGCUUGAGUGCGGGAGAGGCGAGUGGAAUUCCUGGUGUAGCGGUGAAAUGCGCAGAUAUCAGGAAGAACACCCGUGGCUAAGGCGGCUUCCUGGUCCAGCGCCGACGUUCAGGCACGAAAGCGUGGGGAGCAAACAGG